GUGCUGACUUCAGCAGCACAUAUGCUAAAAUUGGAAUGACACAGGGAAAAUUAGCAUGGCCCCUGCUCAAGGAUGACACACAAAUUGAUGAAGUGUUCCAUAUUUUU
Small nuclear RNA from Phodopus roborovskii (desert hamster), 107 nucleotides. The record is from RefSeq and is a predicted model, not a curated record. Lineage: Eukaryota; Metazoa; Chordata; Mammalia; Rodentia; Cricetidae.